RNAcentral lists this ribosomal RNA (253 nucleotides) under uncultured bacterium. RNAcentral's name for it is "partial 16S ribosomal RNA". It matches the Rfam family "Bacterial small subunit ribosomal RNA", at positions 524 to 776 of the family's 1533-position model. The record is from RNAcentral. RNAcentral also lists the same sequence under 1 other name.
UACGUAGGUGGCAAGCGUUGUCCGGAUUUACUGGGCGUAAAGAGCGCGCAGGCGGUCUUGUAAGUCGAAUGUGAAAGCCCCUGGCUCAACCGGGGAGGGUCAUUCGAUACUGCUCGACUCGAAGGCAGGAGAGGGAAGCGGAAUUCCCGGUGUAGUGGUGAAAUGCGUAGAUAUCGGGAGGAACACCAGUGGCGAAGGCGGCUUUCUGGCCUGUUCUUGACGCUGAGGCGCGAAAGCUAGGGGAGCAAACGGG